AAGUCGUAACAAGGUUUCCGUAGGUGAACCUGCGGAAGGAUCAUUAAAAAAUACAUUACACACUGUUUUUGCGAACAAAAAAAUAAAUUUUUUUAUUCGAAUCAUUUAAAUCAAAACUUUCAACAACGGAUCUCUUGGUUCUC
This 143-nucleotide unclassified non-coding RNA is filed under the name fungal sp. Its description in RNAcentral is "partial internal transcribed spacer region". The stretch from base 1 to 46 matches the Rfam family "Eukaryotic small subunit ribosomal RNA", at positions 1786 to 1831 of the family's 1831-position model. The record is from RNAcentral. Lineage: Eukaryota; Fungi. RNAcentral also lists the same sequence under 1 other name.